CAACCAUCAAGCGCCCCGCUUGUGUUGGGGCCCUGCGGCUGCCGCAGACCCCUAAAUCCAGUGGCGGGCUCGUCGUCGUACCGAGUGCAGUAAACAUCCUCGCUCAGGGAACGCCGCGGGUCCCUUGCCGUGAAACACCCCCCAUAUCAA
RNAcentral lists this unclassified non-coding RNA (150 nucleotides) under Podospora minicauda. RNAcentral's name for it is "partial internal transcribed spacer 2". The record is from RNAcentral. Lineage: Eukaryota; Fungi; Ascomycota; Sordariomycetes; Sordariales; Podosporaceae.